UACGUAGGGUGCAAGCGUUAAUCGGAAUUACUGGGCGUAAAGCGUGCGCAGGCGGUCGUGCAAGCCAGAUGUGAAAUCCCCGGGCUUAACCUGGGAACUGCAUUUGUGACUGCACGGCUGGAGUGCGGCAGAGGGGGAUGGAAUUCCGCGUGUAGCAGUGAAAUGCGUAGAUAUGCGGAGGAACACCGAUGGCGAAGGCAAUCCCCUGGGCCUGCACUGACGCUCAUGCACGAAAGCGUGGGGAGCAAACAGG
This 253-nucleotide ribosomal RNA is filed under the name uncultured bacterium. Its description in RNAcentral is "partial 16S ribosomal RNA". It matches the Rfam family "Bacterial small subunit ribosomal RNA", at positions 524 to 776 of the family's 1533-position model. The record is from RNAcentral.